AGCGAACGCUGGCGGCAGGCCUAACACAUGCAAGUCGAACGAACCUUUCGGGGUUAGUGGCGGACGGGUGAGUAACACGUGGGAACGUGCCUUUAGGUUCGGAAUAACUCAGGGAAACUUGUGCUAAUACCGAAUGUGCCCUUCGGGGGAAAGAUUUAUCGCCUUUAGAGCGGCCCGCGUCUGAUUAGCUAGUUGGUUGAGGUAAUGGCUCACCAAGGCGACGAUCAGUAGCUGGUCUGAGAGGAUGAUCAGCCACAUUGGGACUGAGACACGGCCCAAACUCCUACGGGAGGCAGCAGUGGGGAAUCUUGCGCAAUGGGCGAAGGCCUGACGCAGCCAUGCCGCGUGAAUGAUGAAGGUCUUAGGAUUGUAAAAUUCUUUCACCGGGGACGAUAAUGACGGUACCCGGAGAAGAAGCCCCGGCUAACUUCGUG
Molecule: ribosomal RNA, 434 nt
Filed under: uncultured bacterium
Lineage: Bacteria
Description: partial 16S ribosomal RNA
Rfam family: Bacterial small subunit ribosomal RNA
Source: RNAcentral